RNA transcript from Capra hircus (goat), 628 nucleotides. It is a transcript of the gene named anaphase-promoting complex subunit 10 pseudogene, with no coding region annotated. The record is from RefSeq and is a predicted model, not a curated record. The transcript has a single exon. NCBI's taxonomy places the organism in Eukaryota, Metazoa, Chordata, Mammalia, Artiodactyla, Bovidae.
GAGCUAGAGUGCGCAAGCUAAUAUUUUUAAAAUGACCACAUCAAACAAGACACCUCCUGGUGCUAACCCUAAGCAGUUGGAAAGGACUGGAACAGUACGGGAAAUUGGGUCACAAGCUGUUUGGUCACUCUCAUCUUGUAAACCAGGAUUUGGAGUGGAUCAGUUACGAGAUGACAAUCUAGAAACUUACUGGCAAUCAGAUGGAUCCCAGCCUCAUUUAGUGAACAUACAAUUCGGAAGAAAAACAACAGUGAAGGCAUUAUGUAUUUAUGUGGAUUACAAAUCUGAUGAAAGCUACACUCCAAGCAAGAUCUCAGUCAGAGUUGGAAAUAGUUUUCACAACCUUCAGGAAAUUCGGCAACUUGAAUUGGUGGAACCAACUGGCUGGAUUCAUGUUCCCUUAACUGAUAAUCAUAAGAAGCCAACUCGCACUUUCAUGAUACAGAUUGCUGUUCUAGCCAAUCAUCAAAAUGGAAGAGAUACCCACAUGAGACAGAUUAAAAUAUACACACCAGUGGAAGAGAGCUCCAUUGGUAAAUUUCCUAGAUGUACAACUAUUGAUUUCAUGAUGUAUUGCUCAAUAAGGUGACCUAAGAACAAAAGUCAUUAAACAUCUUAUCAGUAAAAA